This is a small nucleolar RNA of Octodon degus (degu), 102 nucleotides long. RefSeq annotates it as small nucleolar RNA U13. The transcript has a single exon. The record is from RefSeq and is a predicted model, not a curated record. NCBI's taxonomy places the organism in Eukaryota, Metazoa, Chordata, Mammalia, Rodentia, Octodontidae.
AUCCUCUGGCUCAUGAGCGUGGUGACUGGGUGUGCAUGCCUUAUGCAUGAGAUGCGCCUCCCUCAAACCUUGUUACAACGUGGGCACAUUACCCGUCUGACG